Molecule: ribosomal RNA, 448 nt
Filed under: uncultured bacterium
Lineage: Bacteria
Description: bacterial SSU rRNA
Rfam family: Bacterial small subunit ribosomal RNA
Source: RNAcentral
AUUGAACGCUGGCGGCAUGCUUUACACAUGCAAGUCGAACGGCAGCGCGGGCUUCGGCCUGGCGGCGAGUGGCGAACGGGUGAGUAACAUAUCGGAACGUACCCAAGAGUGGGGAUAACGUAGCGAAGUUACGCUAAUACCGCAUACGAUCUAAGGAUGAAAGCAGGGGAUCGCAAGACCUUGUGCUCCUGGAGCGGCCGAUAUCUGAUUAGCUAGUUGGUGAGGUAAAGGCUCACCAAGGCAACGAUCAGUAGCUGGUCUGAGAGGACGACCAGCCACACUGGAACUGAGACACGGUCCAGACUCCUACGGGAGGCAGCAGUGGGGAAUUUUGGACAAUGGGGGCAACCCUGAUCCAGCAAUGCCGCGUGAGUGAAGAAGGCCUUCGGGUUGUAAGACUCUGUCGUAUGGGAAUAAGAAAGUGAAUGUACCAUGCAAGAAAGGAAUC